Molecule: long non-coding RNA, 5600 nt
Filed under: Marmota monax (woodchuck)
Lineage: Eukaryota; Metazoa; Chordata; Mammalia; Rodentia; Sciuridae
Source: RNAcentral
CUUGAAACAGGGUCACUAAUGGAAAGUGGAGUCCUUUGCCUGUCCAAGGUAAGUAUUUGUUUUGCAGUGGCCACAAGGAGAGUUGUGUAUUCCUUUCAGAUCAGGGUACCAGCUAGGUGUAAUGGCACACGCCUGUAAUGUCAGCGACCUGGGAGGCUGAGGCAGGAAGAUCACAAAUUCAAGGCCAGGCUCAGCAACUUAGUGAGACCCUCAGCAACUCAGCAAGACCCUGUCUCAGAAUGAAAAAUAAUAAGGGCUGGGAAAGUUGCUCAAUGAUUGAGUACCCCUGGGUUUAAUCCCCAGGAACAACCCCCACCAGAAAAAAAGAUCAGGGUGCUGGUGACCUUAUGACCUGAGAAUGGUCAGAGAGCUGCUACCAGCUGGGGAGGUCCACACAGUGGCCUUAUCUCCAAACAUCCAUGAUGGGCUUCCCUAAGUCUAUGAAGGGAAGAAAGGGAGGAUGCCUUGGGUGUGGAAGGGAGGGGUUACCCAGUGGGAUUGGUGCAGUUCACUACAAAGAUCUCCCCCAAACUGGUGAGUCUGAUUGCAGCAGGUGGAAGGGAUCAAGGCCAGAGUCCAUUUCCUUUCCUGGAGGGAGGAGUUUCUCAGCUCACCUGUUGCUUCCCUGAUCUUAGGUAGCCUUUCCCUCCUUGUGUCUUUGGCCAAGGCUCUAGGCUAGAAUGUGUCCUUCCUUCAUGCCAAGAGAUGCUCUUGCUCAGGAAAAAGUAUAAGGGACAGCCCCAGGGAGACCUCUGCUCUCAGCCUCUGCCCAGGGGUUCAUGUGGUUCCAGCAGAGCAGGGCAGGAGUCCUCCAUGAUUAAGUUUCAGCUCCUACUAGUGAAGACACCAGAACCCAUCUGAACUCCUGACCCUCCCCCAACUGGAAUCUCAGGUGGAUGAGUCACAUUAGGGACCAUGGAAAAGGGCACUUUAAGCCUGUUUAUGAGAAAACAGAAGAGAAAAUGGGAAUGUCAACAUUCACCUCUAACAUCUAUCAUGGGCUUCAGAUGCUUCUCUUUACCAAAGUAAUGUUCAUACCCAACUGCCAGGGCUGUGUAAAUGAAGUCAGGGACCCUUAUGUUGGACACCCUCCUUGUCCUGAGUGCAGCUGGUGGGCUGUGGUUAUGUAACGGUGUAUUUAUCUUUCCUGCUUUUAUGGAAUGCUCGCUCAUCUUCUCACUUCCCCUUGUCUUCUGCAGGGAAGCCCAGUUCUGUCCUGUAGAAGGCUCCUGUUCCAGCAGUUUGGGGGUGCCAUCUGCUACUCUGACCAUCACAGGCCUGUUGCCCUACUGGCCACCUGCCCAUCAGACCGGCUUCCUGUGCCAUGUCCCAACCUGACCACGGCCCUGCUGGCUCCUUUAUCAACAUACCCUGCAAGAAUCUUCCCAUUUCUGGACAAGGCUUCAUUCCUGGAGGCUCCUCUGCUCUUGACCUCCAGCUGUGAUGUCUGUCUGGGUCAUUUGUCAUCAUCUUGCUUUGUCUGAAGGACAGAGAGUUGGGCAAGAAGGGAUCUAGGUAUGGGAGCUCAGUCAGAGACUGGGGAGCUCAUUUGCUUCAGAGGCAGAAGGUGAUGAGGUGGAGAGCAGAGGUGAUAGCAGAACAUAAGGUGGGCCCUGUCUGUCCUUGGUCACCGUGCAGUGCCUUCCUGGACUUGGAGACAGGAGCUUCACCACCACCAGUGCAUUUAGUGAUGUAGUGGAGGUAGAGGGGCUGCUUUCCCAGGAGCCAAGACUAGCAACAUCUUGGAGGUUGUCCUGAUAAAAAUAGGCUCCAAGCUGGGUGCAUACCUGUAAUUCCAGCAACUCUGGAGGCAGGAAGAUUGCAAGUUCAGGACCAGCCUUGGCACUUAGAGGGACUUUUUCUCAAAUUAAAAAAUUAAAAGCAUGGGGAUGUAGCUCAGUGAUAAAGCAACUUUGGGUUCAAUCCCCACCCCCACCCCCACCUAUCCCACCAAAAAAACCCUCCAUUGGUCCCUGAUCUCUGGAACUCCAAACAUAUACCUGCUUUUGUGCAAAACAUUUCUGAUCUAGUCCCAGGGAAAGGUCCAGGGAUGCUGUCAUCCGUGUUGCUAGGGGCUUGGGCUUGUGGAAGCACAGAGACUGAGCUGGGUAUGUCUGAGACCUGGGCUGCACACUUCCUUGAUUGUAGCUGAAACUUUUUCCCCACUAAUUUUAUGCAGAUUCCUGACUAUCCUUGAUGUGGGAGAAGCACCAGAAAAUCUUGCCCCUUUGAGCAGACAUUUUGUUUCCCUAGGAACAGCUGGGAAGCCAGGAAUGAGAAGGAGUUCUGAGAGAGGGAACAGGCCAAUGCUGGGCAUUUGAGGAAAACUACAGGGCCUGAGGGCUCAGCCAGCCUCCACUGGGUCCCAGUCUCCACUGGUUGUGGAAGACAUAGUUAUUUCAAUCCCCCUAUGAGUGAGAGGGGAAGAGGUGAGCUGGGGGGUAUGACGUGGCAGAUUCUGGUCAGGCCAAUGUGUGGGGGUUGAACUUAAGUGUGGGAAAGGAAUGCAGUGUCCCUCAGACCCUGCAUGUCCUUGGCAUCUGUGGAGUGUCUAGUGCAGCCUUGGGAGCUGCUUCCAUUUACUGUGCCCUCUGGGCAUGUCUGGGGCUCCAUCCCCCAAGCCUCUUACCCUUUCCAAUCAGAGCCACUUUCUCUGGGAUGAGCCAGCUGUCCUGAGGGAAAGCCCCCUGGCCUCUCACCUAUCUUAGUCUGCAGGGUGUUUUUGCUGCUGGGUUUAGGGUGAGGCACCCUCCAAGUCAAAUACAGUCUGAACAGCAGACCCUGGGUGGUGCUGCAGCUUGAAGCGCACAGGGCCUCUGGCAUAGGUGGUACAGUGCUGCGCUGCUGGGGUGUUGCUGGCUGGGCUCCCCAUUUUAAUGAGCAGAUGACAAGAUUUCUAAUCAAGUGCUUUAUCUAUACAAGGAUCUGGACCCAAUCCCAAGUCAAAGCAUAGAAAUGCAACACAUUUUUUUGGACUGAUAUUUCCUCCUUACUUUUGCCAUUAGCACAAAAUUUUGAUCUUUCAUUUCCCACUCUCGUGUUGGAUCCUGUCUGCAGACUGGGAGUGACUGCACCCCUUACCCUGUGUGGGACAUGUGCUUACAUAAAGUACUAGUCUGGUAAGAUUUAUUCUAGUUAGGAGGUCAACAAAAGAUCUUUUUAGCUGAAAGUCAGUGUAGUGGCACCCACUGCUGGAACGAGGCCUGCAGGUCUGGCGGCUUUCUGUUGGCUGGGUUUCUGAAGGAGCUUGAAAGGUCGAACUGCAUUUCUUUGAAAAUGAUUACAGGCUUCGGGCUCGCCUCUCUGGGUAGCUAGUAUUUACAGUUGGUUGUGCCAUGUUAUAUUGCAUUCUGGGGUCCUUUGAGGUUUCCAGAUUGUCCCCAUGCUGUCCUGUAUGGGAAUGUCAUACCUCCCUAUCUCUACUGCUCUAACUGCUCCUUCUGCAGCUACUAUGUGCCUGUUGGGCUUUGCCCCUGGCUCUGGGCCGGUGGGCAGGAUGGCUGGGUGUGUUCAGAAAAACAGACACAGGUUUGCUCCUGAAGAAGUACAGACAUGGGAGGUGGUCUUCACCCUCGGCUUGCUGUUGGGGUACUCUGGGUAGGAUCUGAGCUGCCACCUUCCUCUAGAUCAUGCCUCUCCAUCUUUAGAAAGUCCAUUUAUUGGCUUCCAGAGUAUGCAUUAUCUACCUACCAGAGGUCCUAGUGGAGACAAGGAAGAAGUGGAUGGGAAUGUGGCCCAGUCUCCCCUCACUCUCCUGGACCAUGGGCAGCUGCUCAGGUUCUUGGAGGGCUGUCCCCCACCUUACCCCACAUUCUGAUCCAGAAUGACUGUCCUUUUAUUGCUACACUCAGUCUUGGGGCUCAGAGACUUGCUGAAGCCCCCUAAGCCCUUAUGACUGAAUUUGUGUAGAUGGUGCUUAUGUUGGUAUUUGGGGCAUUUCCACUAUGACCUUCAUGAGAGGUUCUUCCGGUCACAUCUCUGUCUCUGGGGACCACCUGACUCACAGAAGAAACUACCCUUUGCAGGUGCUGUUGGGCACCCAGAUGUCUCUAGCUCCACUGAUGCUUGAAAACAGCUGCAGAAAAACUUGAGAUAGAAGGUCUUAGGUGGAGUUUCUGCCUAUGCUAAUGAAUGUCAAAUGAUGUUUCUUAGAAAAUAUGUGGUUCAGUUUUUGGGGGCAUAGUCUUGAAGCCCAAGCCUUCUGCCUUCUUUUACCAUCUCAUUCAACCAUGUCAUGACCCACAUGUGAAACCUUAGCCCCAGUGAACCCAUAGCCAGCUAGUGGCAAAGCUGAGACUAGAACUCACAGCCCAGGGUUCUGUCCUCUGCACCAGCUGUGUGACUGAUAGAGAAAGUGACUGGACCUUCCAGGUUUGGGGGAAGCCAUGUUGGGAGGUGCAGCACCUGGUGGGUCCUUGGUCUCUGCUAUUUUCUGUCAGGAGGGCUCUUCUCUUGGAUUGGUCAGUGAGGACCCCGGGAUUUGAUUUGAGCAAAGAGAAUGGAGAGGAAAAGGGAUUCCAGGGAACUGCUCCUCAGUGACCUCUGGUCUUCAGCUCCAGUCUAUAAGGUGGCGGAGGCCAGGGCACAGAUGCAGUUCACCACCCCCAGCUUCCUUGCUGCAAAUUAAGACAGAAGGUGGUAAAAGAAAACUCUCUCAUUUUUCUCUGAUUCUUAAAGGAAAGUGAUUAAUAGGAACCUAGGUUCAAUUGAUCAGCCGGGACAUGGCCUAUUUCACUUUCCUUACCUUGACCCUAGAAGGUGCCAACUCAAACACUACCUUUUUCAUUUGUUUCUUAGUCUAUAGAUUCAGCUGUGUUGUGGGGAAUGGUGGGGGAUUCAAGUAGAUCUUACAGCUCCAGGGGCUGGAAGGGACCAGGCCAGUCAUCCAUGUUCAGGACCCUCUGGCUCCUCCCCCACUCCAGCUAUUCCUUAUCAAAGUCAAGGGUAGGAUAAUGAAGUUUGCCAAGGCUGCCCCUGCAGCUUGGUGGGGGCCUGUGGGGGCAUUCCUCUACCCAGUUCCAGUAUCUGUUUUACCAUCAGCCCCGCAUCCACCCCUAUUCCCACCCCUCUCCUUUCAGCUGGGCCAUGUACCCCUUUGUGAGGAAGAAGAUACCCCCACUUAGGGCCACAGGCAGCGGAGUCCUGCCUACUGAGAGGCUGUUGGGACAGAGGCUCUGUCCUGUGCCUUAUCAGCCCUGGGGAGAGGAUGUUUGGCUGGAAGACUGGAAUUUAAUUGCCAUUGUCUUUGAUUUUGUGAUAUUUCUGCUUGGAGGGGUGAAACCCCCCUUCCCACUCUUUAGCAUGUGUGCCAACUCUCCCCUGUCAUGGGUGUUACCCUUCGACACUCCAGCUCAGGGAGUGCUGAUGUCCUCAUGUGAAGAGAUUCCUGUGUGAUAGAACCUAAGAAAUGUAGCUUGGAAGUGACCCCUGUGACGAUGACGUUUCUUUCUUUCCUCUUAGUGAGGAGGUGAUUUGUAGAUCCUGACUGCCUAUGUAAUGUAAAUAGUGUACAUUUAAUUUAUUGCUAUGGUAGCAUAUUGUAUUUGUUAAUGUAUAAAACAAAUUCUAAAAGGUUGACAAAUGUAUAUUUUGUUGCUUAA